GAUGAACGCUGGCGGCGUGCCUAAUACAUGCAAGUCGAGCGAACGGACGAGAAGCUUGCUUCUCUGAUGCUAGCGGCGGACGGGUGAGUAACACGUGGAUAACCUACCUAUAAGACUGGGAUAACUUCGGGAAACCGGAGCUAAUACCGGAUAAUAUUUUGAACCGCAUGGUUCAAAAGUAAAAGACGGUCUUGCUGUCACUUAUAGAUGGAUCCGCGCUGCAUUAGCUAGUUGGUAAGGUAACGGCUUACCAAGGCAACGAUGCAUAGCCGACCUGAGAGGGUGAUCGGCCACACUGGAACUGAGACACGGUCCAGACUCCUACGGGAGGCAGCAGUAGGGAAUCUUCCGCAAAGGGCGAAAGCCUGACGGAGCAACGCCGCGUGAGUGAUGAAGGUCUUCGGAUCGUAAAACUCUGUUAUUAGGGAAGAACAUAUGUGUAAGUAACUGUGCACAUCUUGACGGUACCUAAUCAGAAAGCCACGGCUAACUACGUG
Molecule: ribosomal RNA, 497 nt
Filed under: uncultured bacterium
Lineage: Bacteria
Description: partial 16S ribosomal RNA
Rfam family: Bacterial small subunit ribosomal RNA
Source: RNAcentral